GACGAACGCUGGCGGCGUGCCUAAUACAUGCAAGUAGAACGCUGAAGAGAGGAGCUUGCUCUUCUUGGAUGAGUUGCGAACGGGUGAGUAACGCGUAGGUAACCUGCCUGGUAGCGGGGGAUAACUAUUGGAAACGAUAGCUAAUACCGCAUGAUAUUAAUUAUCGCAUGAUAAUUAAUUGAAAGAUGCAAUUGCAUCACUACCAGAUGGACCUGCGUUGUAUUAGCUAGUUGGUGAGGUAACGGCUCACCAAGGCGACGAUACAUAGCCGACCUGAGAGGGUGAUCGGCCACACUGGGACUGAGACACGGCCCAGACUCCUACGGGAGGCAGCAGUAGGGAAUCUUCGGCAAUGGGGGGAACCCUGACCGAGCAACGCCGCGUGAGUGAAGAAGGUUUUCGGAUCGUAAAGCUCUGUUGUAAGAGAAGAACGGGUGUGAGAGUGGAAAGUUCACACUGUGACG
Molecule: ribosomal RNA, 464 nt
Filed under: Streptococcus sanguinis
Lineage: Bacteria; Bacillati; Bacillota; Bacilli; Lactobacillales; Streptococcaceae
Description: bacterial SSU rRNA
Rfam family: Bacterial small subunit ribosomal RNA
Source: RNAcentral